GCUGGGCACGGUGGCGCGUGCCUGUAGUCUCAGCUCUCAGGAGGCUGAGGCAGGAGAAUUGCUUGAGCCUAGGAGGUUGAGACUGCAGUAAGCCAUGACUGUGGCCACGGCACUCCAGCCUAGGAGACAGAGCAAGACCUUGUCUCUA
Molecule: unclassified non-coding RNA, 148 nt
Organism: Callithrix jacchus (white-tufted-ear marmoset)
Lineage: Eukaryota; Metazoa; Chordata; Mammalia; Primates; Cebidae
Rfam family: Metazoan signal recognition particle RNA
About the family: The signal recognition particle (SRP) is a universally conserved ribonucleoprotein. It is involved in the co-translational targeting of proteins to membranes.
Source: Ensembl